UUUGAUCAACCGCUAGACCUAAUUGAGCUACCCAAGUCCGAACCCAAUUUUAUGAAAAUAUCUUAGAUAUGAAAUUCUCAAUUUUAGACCUAACUUAAUUACAUAAGCUUAAUUUAUUAAUUAAGUUUGGGUUCAUAAAUAAAACAUGUAAAAUAAAUUCUAGGGUUUCAGGAUCUAGGGUUUUGCAGAAAAAUAAGUUUUGAUUUCUGAUUAAGGAUGAACGUGCGGCACCCCUACACAUCAUAUGAACACCCCA
This 256-nucleotide long non-coding RNA is filed under the name Elaeis guineensis (African oil palm). Its description in RNAcentral is "long non-coding RNA (EGUI_LNC067131)". The record is from RNAcentral. Lineage: Eukaryota; Viridiplantae; Streptophyta; Magnoliopsida; Arecales; Arecaceae.